RNAcentral lists this ribosomal RNA (2883 nucleotides) under Xanthomonas nasturtii. RNAcentral's name for it is "23S ribosomal RNA". It matches the Rfam family "Bacterial large subunit ribosomal RNA". Lineage: Bacteria; Pseudomonadati; Pseudomonadota; Gammaproteobacteria; Lysobacterales; Lysobacteraceae. The record is from RNAcentral.
GGUCAAGCGAAUAAGCGCACACGGUGGAUGCCUAGGCGGUCAGAGGCGAUGAAGGACGUGGUAGCCUGCGAAAAGUGUCGGGGAGCUGGCAACAAGCUUUGAUCCGGCAAUGUCCGAAUGGGGAAACCCACUGCUUCGGCAGUAUCCUGCAGUGAAUUCAUAGCUGCUGGAAGCGAACCCGGUGAACUGAAAUAUCUAAGUAACCGGAGGAAAAGAAAUCAACCGAGAUUCCCUGAGUAGUGACGAGCGAACGGGGAACAGCCCUUAAGCUGGAAUGGCUUUAGAAAAACAAUCUGGAAAGAUUGGCCAUAGAAGGUGAUAGCCCUGUAUUUAAAAGGGCCACUCCAGUGAAGACGAGUAGGGCGGGGCACGUGAAACCCUGUCUGAAUAUGGGGGGACCAUCCUCCAAGGCUAAAUACUCCUGACCGACCGAUAGUGAACCAGUACCGUGAGGGAAAGGCGAAAAGAACCCCGGAGAGGGGAGUGAAAUAGAUCCUGAAACCGUGUGCGUACAAGCAGUAGGAGCUCGCAAGAGUGACUGCGUACCUUUUGUAUAAUGGGUCAGCGACUUACUGUUCGUGGCAAGCUUAACCGUAUAGGGGAGGCGAAGGGAAACCGAGUCUGAUAAGGGCGCAUAGUCGCGGGCAGUAGACCCGAAACCGGGUGAUCUAGUCAUGGCCAGGGUGAAGGUGCCGUAACAGGUACUGGAGGCCCGAACCCACGUCUGUUGCAAAAGACGGGGAUGAGCUGUGAUUAGGAGUGAAAAGCUAAUCGAACCCGGAGAUAGCUGGUUCUCCUCGAAAGCUAUUUAGGUAGCGCCUCGGACGAAUACUACUGGGGGUAGAGCACUGUUAUGGCUAGGGGGUCAUCGCGACUUACCAAACCAUUGCAAACUCCGAAUACCAGUACGUACUAUCCGGGAGACACACGGCGGGUGCUAACGUCCGUCGUGAAAAGGGAAACAACCCAGACCCACAGCUAAGGUCCCAAAUUCACUGCUAAGUGGAAAACGAUGUGGAAAGGCACAGACAGCCAGGAGGUUGGCUUAGAAGCAGCCACCCUUUAAAGAAAGCGUAAUAGCUCACUGGUCGAGUCGGUCUGCGCGGAAGAUUUAACGGGGCUAAGCAGUGAACCGAAGCUUGGGGUGCGUAAAACUUCGGUUUUAUGCGCGGUAGAGGAGCGUUCCGUAAGCCUGCGAAGGUGGAUUGAGAAGUCUGCUGGAGGUAUCGGAAGUGCGAAUGCUGACAUGAGUAACGAUAAUGCGGGUGAAAAGCCCGCACGCCGAAAGCCCAAGGUUUCCUUGCGCAACGUUAAUCGACGCAGGGUUAGUCGGUCCCUAAGGCGAGGGCGAAAGCCGUAGUCGAUGGGAAGCAGGUUAAUAUUCCUGCACCUCGCGUGAGUGCGAUGGAGGGACGGAGAAGGUUAGGUGUACCGGGCGUUGGUUGUCCCGGGGAAAGGCGGUAGGUUUGAAUCUUUGGCAAAUCCGGGAUUCUUUAAGACCGAGCACCGAGACGAGCCUUUAUGGCGAAGUCACUGAUACCACGCUUCCAGGAAAAGCUCCUAAGCUUCAGCUCACGAAGACCGUACCGUAAACCGACACAGGUGGGUAGGAUGAGAAUUCUCAGGCGCUUGAGAGAACUCGGGUGAAGGAACUAGGCAACAUGGCACCGUAACUUCGGGAGAAGGUGCACCCUUUUUGGUGGCUCAUGCGAGCUAUAGCUGAAGAGGGUCGCAGAAACCAGGCCGCUGCGACUGUUUAUCAAAAACACAGCACUCUGCAAACACGAAAGUGGACGUAUAGGGUGUGACGCCUGCCCGGUGCUGGAAGGUUAAUUGAUGGGGUCAGCCGCAAGGCGAAGCUCUUGAUCGAAGCCCCAGUAAACGGCGGCCGUAACUAUAACGGUCCUAAGGUAGCGAAAUUCCUUGUCGGGUAAGUUCCGACCUGCACGAAUGGCGUAACGACAGCGGCGCUGUCUCCACCCGAGACUCAGUGAAAUUGAAAUCGCUGUGAAGAUGCAGCGUUCCCGUGGCAAGACGGAAAGACCCCGUGAACCUUUACUAUAGCUUUACACUGAACGUUGAGUUCGUCUGUGUAGGAUAGGUGGGAGGCUAUGAAACUGUGGCGCUAGCUGCAGUGGAGCCAUCCUUGAAAUACCACCCUGUCGUGCUUGACGUUCUAACCUAGAUCCGUUAUCCGGAUCAGGGACCGUGUAUGGUGGGUAGUUUGACUGGGGCGGUCUCCUCCUAAAGAGUAACGGAGGAGCACGAAGGUACGCUCAGCGCGGUCGGACAUCGCGCACUGUGUGCAAAGGCAUAAGCGUGCUUGACUGCAAGAUCGACGGAUCAAGCAGGUACGAAAGUAGGUCUUAGUGAUCCGGUGGUUCUGUAUGGAAGGGCCAUCGCUCAACGGAUAAAAGGUACUCCGGGGAUAACAGGCUGAUACCGCCCAAGAGUUCAUAUCGACGGCGGUGUUUGGCACCUCGAUGUCGGCUCAUCACAUCCUGGGGCUGUAGUCGGUCCCAAGGGUAUGGCUGUUCGCCAUUUAAAGUGGUACGCGAGCUGGGUUCAGAACGUCGUGAGACAGUUCGGUCCCUAUCUGCCAUGGGCGUUGGAAGUUUGAGAGGGGCUGCUCCUAGUACGAGAGGACCGGAGUGGACGAACCUCUGGUGUUCCGGUUGUCACGCCAGUGGCAUUGCCGGGUAGCUAUGUUCGGAAGCGAUAACCGCUGAAAGCAUCUAAGCGGGAAGCGCGCCUCAAGAUGAGACUUCCCGGGGCACAAGCCCCCUAAAGGAACCAUGUAGACUACGUGGUUGAUAGGUCAGGUGUGUAAGUACAGCAAUGUAUUGAGCUAACUGAUACUAAUGAUCCGUGCGGCUUGACCAU